Molecule: long non-coding RNA, 3403 nt
Filed under: Podarcis lilfordi (Lilford's wall lizard)
Lineage: Eukaryota; Metazoa; Chordata; Lepidosauria; Squamata; Lacertidae
Source: RNAcentral
GACUUCCUGGAGGCGGCGCGAAACGGCAAUGGCGGUCCUCUUCGGUCUCUGAAGAGGGGCUCCGCAGAAAAGGGUCGUCCGCUGCGGCACAGCGGGGACCCAUUAAGAAAAACCACGGGCAGAGUGAGCCCGUGGCCGUGGGACUCGGCGGGCACCAGGAGCGACCCCAAAACGAAGAAGGAACCCCGUAAGGGGCUCCGGAAACGUGGAAGGGGGAGCGGUGCUGUGAGUUCAUCGCUCUUUCUGCGGGAGCGAAGCCGCGCGGCUGCUGCCGAUGAGCGCCGACCUUUCUUCUUGGAACAUCAGGCUGUAAACUACCUACUCGUGAGUAAGGAUCAAUCAUUUUGGAACUAAAAGUGUUAAAUUUGGCUGAAAGCGGGAGACGAUAAACAGGAAGUCCGUCUUCCGGCAGUGCUUUAAAGAUCAAAGGCAAAGAUUUUAACAAGCGGGAAGCAGCUUUAAAAGAUUAUAAAUUUGGGACUAUCGUGUUGACAGAAUUGGCUUUUAAAAAGAAGGAGAAAAGACUUUUAUUUCUAAGUGUUUUGGACUUUAAAUGGGACUUUCCUCCCCUUUAUGGAUUAUAAAGAAUUAAGAACCAAACCUCGGACUGACAGGAAAAAAGAGAGCUGUCAUUGCGGAAACUGUAUCCAAAAUAGAGACUGUUACAGUUGAGUGAUACUGGCAAGAUACAAUUAAAUAAACUGUUACUGGCACCUUUUAUCUGAGACUUUGUGGCAGCUUGGGAAGUGCUCUGUAAGCUAAAAAAGUUUAUGAAGGACUUUUGGUAAAUUAGACUGUUUUGGGGCUGCAGGGACUUUAAUGGCGGAUAAAGUUCUUUCCUUUCUAUGAACUACAGUAAUACUCCCCCUAGUGGAGUUCUGGAAUUACAAGUGCCUGGGAACAAAUUUUGUUUGUACUAUCUGCUGCUCUGUUAUUUACACUUUGGAACUGUCCUUCCCAUGGGACAAUAUACAGCUUGACCUUGACUCAUAGACAGGUGUGGAAUGAGUGGCCAACCGAAAACAAGAGCUGCUAAAACGAAAGCAAGACAAGCCCAACUUGUGCAAACAACUUUGACUACUCAGUCACGUAGAUCAUCUGUCCCAGCUGUUUUGGGAGUACAAGAAAAGGAAAUCGCACAGCCUGCAUCAGAGGAUAUGGCAGAGGGAGGAUCAGAUACCUUCUUAAAACAAAUGCUAGAACAAUUUGCAAUAUUGAACAAGAAGGUGGAUGACCAAUCGGCAAAAAUAGAUCAAGCCACAUCCUCUAUUACUAAAUUGUCUGACCAAGUUGCACAACAUACACAAGUUAUUGGGAAUCUCAAGGAAGCAACUGUGGAAAAUCGGAGACUGGCUGAAGCAGCCAAUGAAAAAGCAGAACAAGCAAAUCAAAAAGUUGAGGCUAUAAAAGGGGAGGUAAGGCCACUACACAAGCACAUUAGUGAUCAGCAGGCUUACCUGUCUAUGGUGGAAUUGAGAAACCGGGAAAACAAUCUGAGAUUAAGAGCUAUCCCAGAGCUUGAACAGGAAGAUUUAAUUGGUUAUCUGACAGCAGAAUUUUCCAAGUUCUGGGGUAUAGAAGAGGACAAAGAUUUCAAGAUCACAACUGCGUUUAGAUUAGGAAGAGUCGUGAGGAGGGACAAGCCCAGAGACUGUUUGAUUAUUUUGAGAUCCAAGCAGGAGAGAGAUAAAAUACUAGGCCUCCACUUUAAGAAAUCACUUGAUAUCCAAGGCAAAAGAGCAGAAUUUUAUAGAGAUAUUCCUAAACAACUUUUGGAUCUCAGAGCCACAUAUACAGACCUAGCAAGACUACUGAGAGGAAACGCGAUUCCAUAUAGGUGGGAGUUUCCCAAGGUUUAUCUUUUAAUUUUAAAGGAAAGAAAAUUAAGAUUAAAACAUCAGAAGAUAACCAGAAGUUCCUGCACGACCACGGAGAAGACCUUCAGAAGGGAGCAGCAGCCUCUUGGCCACCGCCACUGCCUGGAAAAGCACCGAUACCUACACCCUCGGGGCCAGAAGAAAAGGAAGACACCCCACUAUAGGAACAACAGAUUGAUUCAGAAUGUCUCUGCAGCUGUACAGUUGGAAUAUAAAUGGCGGGAACUCCCCGGAAAAAGACGAAGGAUUUUUCAUAUUUUGAAAAAGAACAAUUGGAUAUUGUUUGCUUGCAAGAAACGCAUGUGACUAGGCUCCAUAGGAAAGUGUUAAUCAACAAAAGACUAGGCCAAGAAUUUAUUUCAUCAGACAAAGUGAAGAAAAGAGGCGUAGUGAUUUAUGCAAAGGAGAACCUGUCACCGAAAUUUUUGUUUAAAGAUGAGCAAGGAAGAAUUUUGGCAAUUGAGAUACAAACACAAGGAGAAAAGUUUUUGAUUUUAGGAAUAUAUGCACCAAAUGAGGGGAAAUCGGAAUUUUACAAGAAGCUGCAUGAGAUAAUGCUGGACUAUCUGGACUAUACCAACAUCAUAAUGAUGGGCGAUAUGAAUGGGGUGGUUUCUACUCACAUGGAUAAGUCACAAAAUCAAAAUUUAACUAAAGACGGCAGACUACCUAAAACCUUCUUUGAACUAACUGAUAACAUGGACUUGAUUGAUAUUUGGAGGACAAGGAACCCCUUAGGUAAAGAAGGAACAUUCUUUUCUGAGGCCCACCUAUCAUGGACAAGAAUCGACCAAAUAUGGACAACUAGAGGACUGGCACCUAAGAUCAGAAAAGUGGAAAUCUGUCCAAAGACUUGCUCCGACCAUAAUGCUUUGAAAGUAGAAUUGAGACUUACUCCAACCGGUUCUUUCAGAUGGAAAAUGAAUGACACCCUACUAAGAGAUCAGGAGAUUGUGAAGAAGGCCCAAAAAACCUUAAAGGACUACUUUGAAAUCAAUUUGAACACUUCGGUGGAAAAGAGAACAAUCUGGGACGCAAGUAAAGCUGUAAUGAGGGGGUUUCUGAUACAACAGAACACAAUCAAGAAAAAACUUUGGAAUGGGAAAAGAUAGGAUAUUAGAGAAGAUAAGAGAAGGAGAGAAAAAUUGAGAUUAAAACCAAAAUCAAAAGAGGUUCUAAGAGAAAUCAAAUUCCACCAAGCUCAAUAUGCGAAAUUGAUAAAUCAAGAAGUGGAAUGGAAAAUCAAACAAAUGAAACAAAGAUCAUUUGAAUCGGCAAAUAAAUGUGGAAAACUGCUAGCAUGGCAGUUGAAAAAGAGACAAAAAUUGAACUUUGUCACUAAUCUAGAGGUGGAAGGGAGAAACAUUCAGAAACCAGAAGAAAUUAGAAAGUGUUUCCAGAAAUAUUUCAAAAACUUUAUACUCAAGGGCCUCAGGAAGUGUCUGAGAUAGAUCAAUUUUUAAAAGUUAACGGUCUAUCCAAACUAUCUCAGGAGAAGAGGACAAUCUUAAAUAAUAGAAUAACAC